CACGUAGGCACCAAGCGUUGUCCGGAUUUAUUGGGCGUAAAGAGCUCGUAGGCGGUUCGGUAAGUCGGGUGUGAAAACUCUGGGCUCAACCCAGAGCCGCCACCCGAUACUGCUGUGACUUGAGUUCGGUAGGGGAGCGGGGAAUUCCUGGUGUAGCGGUGAAAUGCGCAGAGAUCAGGAGGAACACCAGUGGCGAAGGCGCCGCUCUGGGCCGAGACUGACGCUGAGGAGCGAAAGCGUGGGGAGCGAACAGG
Molecule: ribosomal RNA, 254 nt
Filed under: uncultured bacterium
Lineage: Bacteria
Description: partial 16S ribosomal RNA
Rfam family: Bacterial small subunit ribosomal RNA
Source: RNAcentral